AUUGAACGCUGGCGGCAGGCCUAACACAUGCAAGUCGAGCGAGCGGCGGACGGGGGAGUAAAGUCUGGGAAACUGCGUGAUGGAGGGGGAUAACUACUGGAAAAGGUAGCUAAUACAGCAUAUGACCUGAUGUGCCCAGAUGGGGUUAGCUAGUAGGGGGGGGAAUGGCUCACGUAGGCGACGAUCCCUAGCUGGUCUGAGAGGAUGACCAGCCACACUGGAACUGAGAAACGGUCCAGACUCCUACGGGAGGCAGCAGUGGGGAAUAGUGCACAAUGGGCGCAAGCCUGAUGCAGCCAUGCCGCGUGUGUGAAGAAGGCCUUCGGGUUGUAAAGCACUUUCAGCGAGGAGGCGUUACCCGCAGAAGAAGCACCGGCUAACUCCGUGCCAGCCGCCGCGGUAAUAC
This 406-nucleotide ribosomal RNA is filed under the name uncultured bacterium. RNAcentral's name for it is "partial 16S ribosomal RNA". It matches the Rfam family "Bacterial small subunit ribosomal RNA", at positions 29 to 526 of the family's 1533-position model. The record is from RNAcentral.